Molecule: ribosomal RNA, 802 nt
Filed under: uncultured marine archaeon
Lineage: Archaea
Description: bacterial SSU rRNA
Rfam family: Archaeal small subunit ribosomal RNA
Source: RNAcentral
UGCGAGUCUGAGCAUUAGCUCGGCGUACCGCUCAGUAACACGUGGGUAACCUGCCCUACUGUUCGGAAUAACCUCGGGAAACUGAGAACAAUGCCGAAUAGUCCACUACGCCUGGAACGGUGGGUGGAUGAAGGUAGGAUGGGCCUGCGGCGUAUCAGGUUGUAGGGGGUGUAAUGGACCUCCUAGCCAUCGACGCGUACGGGUGUUGGGAGACAUAGCCCGGAGAUGGAUUCUGAGACACGAAUCCAGGCCCUACGGGGCGCAGCAGUUACGAAAACUUGGCAAUGCGGGAAACCGUGACCAGGGAACUCCAAGUGAGUCUCUUUUAGGGGCUCUUUUCAUGACUCUAAAACGGUCUUGGAAUAAGGGGUGGGUAAGGACGGUGCCAGCCGCCGCGGUAAUACCGGCGCCUCAAGUGGUCGUCGCUUUUAUUGGGCCUAAAACGUCCGUAGCCGGUUUGGUACAUUCGUGGGUAAAUCAACUCGCUCAACGAGUUGAAUUCUGCGAAGACGGCCAGACUAAGGACCGGGAGAGGUGUGGGGAACUCUCAGGGUAGGGGUAAAAUCCUGUCAUCCUGAGAGGACCACCUGUUGCGAAAGCGCCACACUAGAACGGAUCCGACGGUCAGGGACGAAGCCUAAGGGCACGAACCGGAUUAGAUACCCGGGUAGUCCUAGGUGUAAACGCUGUGGACUUGGUGUUGGGGAAGACUAGAGCUUUUCCAGUGCCGUAGCGAAAGUGUUGAGUCCACUGCCUGGGGAGUACGGUCGCAAAGGCUGAAACUUAAAGGAAUUGGCGGGGG